UUUCCCAUUCCUUUAUGGAAGUAAGACCCCUGAGAGAUGAUCAGGUAGAUAGGAUGGAAGUGGAAGUACGGUGACGUAUGGAGCGGACCAUUACUAAUCGGUCGAGGACUUAACCAAG
This 118-nucleotide ribosomal RNA is filed under the name Ligilactobacillus animalis. RNAcentral describes it as "Lactobacillus animalis partial 23S ribosomal RNA". It matches the Rfam family "Bacterial large subunit ribosomal RNA", at positions 2810 to 2925 of the family's 2925-position model. Lineage: Bacteria; Bacillati; Bacillota; Bacilli; Lactobacillales; Lactobacillaceae. The record is from RNAcentral.